Molecule: ribosomal RNA, 488 nt
Filed under: uncultured bacterium
Lineage: Bacteria
Description: bacterial SSU rRNA
Rfam family: Bacterial small subunit ribosomal RNA
Source: RNAcentral
AUUGAACGCUGGCGGCAUGCCUAACACAUGCAAGUCGAACGGUAACGCGGAGAGCUUGCUCUCUGGCGACGAGUGGCGGACGGGUGAGUAAUACUUAGGAAUCUGCCCAGUAGUGGGGGACAACAUUCGGAAACGGAUGCUAAUACCGCAUACGCACUACGGUGGAAAGCGGGGGAUCUUCGGACCUCGCGCUAUUGGAUGAGCCUAAGUCGGAUUAGCUUGUAGGUAGGGUAAUGGCCUACCUAGGCGACGAUCCGUAGCUGGUCUGAGAGGACGAUCAGCCACACUGGGACUGAGACACGGCCCAGACUCCUACGGGAGGCAGCAGUGGGGAAUAUUGGACAAUGGGCGCAAGCCUGAUCCAGCAAUGCCGCGUGUGUGAAGAAGGCCUGCGGGUUGUAAAGCACUUUCAGUAGAGAAGAAAAGCUUACGGUUAAUACCCGUGAGUCUUGACGUAACCUACAGAAGAAGCACCGGCUAACUCCGUG